Long non-coding RNA from Spinacia oleracea (spinach), 384 nucleotides. RefSeq lists it as uncharacterized. The record is from RefSeq and is a predicted model, not a curated record. Lineage: Eukaryota; Viridiplantae; Streptophyta; Magnoliopsida; Caryophyllales; Amaranthaceae. The transcript has 3 exons.
GGUAAGCAAUUAAUUAAAUAUGGUUGGUUUACAUAAUGUGUAAUAAUUAUUAAUUAUUAAUUCCUAUGUUUAUUCAUUGUUGAGGUUAUGGUUAUGCAAAUUAAGGAGUAAAGGUUGAUUGUCAAGGAGUAUGUUACGAAUUGAGAGUUGAGUUAAGCAAUACAGAUUAUUGAUUGAGGUUCGAUUAAGGAGCUCAAGUUGCUCAAACGAGAGUUAUUACUGGAGUUGGUUAUUUAUUAUGGAGAUAUCGAGAUGAGAAAUUAUUUAUUAUGGAAAUCCUGUUAUUGAGGUCCCAGGAUUAAUUAAGCCUAAUUCCGCUGCAAGUGAUCAGUUAAGUGCGGUUUAUUACCGCUAAUUAAGGUGCCGAAAAGUCGGGGCGUUACA